GAGUUUGAUCCUGGCUCAGGAUGAACGCUGGCGGCGUGCUUAACACAUGCAAGUCGAACGGGAAUGCCACGCUGAUGCGAUUUCGGUCAAAUCAUGUGGCAUUCGAGUGGCGGACGGGUGAGUAACGCGUGGGUAACCUGCCUUACACAGGGGGAUAACACCUGGAAACAGGUGCUAAUACCGCAUAAGCGCACAGGGCCGCAUGGCCCGGUGUGAAAAACUCCGGUGGUGUAAGAUGGACCCGCGUCUGAUUAGCUUGUUGGCGGGGUAGGGGCCCACCAAGGCGACGAUCAGUAGCCGGCCUGAGAGGGUGGACGGCCACAUUGGGACUGAGACACGGCCCAAACUCCUACGGGAGGCAGCAGUGGGGGAUAUUGGACAAUGGGGGAAACCCUGAUCCAGCGACGCCGCGUGAGUGAAGAAGUAUUUCGGUAUGUAAAGCUCUGUCAGCAGGGAAGAAAGAAAUGACGGUACCUGACCAAGAAGCCCCGGCUAACUACGUG
This 503-nucleotide ribosomal RNA is filed under the name uncultured bacterium. RNAcentral describes it as "bacterial SSU rRNA". It matches the Rfam family "Bacterial small subunit ribosomal RNA", at positions 9 to 507 of the family's 1533-position model. The record is from RNAcentral.